CCAUGGAGGAACACAAAUCCAGGUCAGACUAGGUCUUAUCACUUGGGAAAAAAUUUUAAACUUAGUAAAGUGAUUCUUCUGCAUAUCCCUUGUUAAAUUUCAACAACAAGCAGCUUUGCCAUACCAAAUACAUUUUUCUGUAUGUGGCUAGACCUCAGAAGUAAAUAAAUAUAGAAUUGAAGCAAUGAUAUCCUGAUUCAAUAGUAAAUGGAUCACAGGAAGUCUUCUUUCCUUCUUAUUUACAUCUUAAUGUUUUUUAAAUCCCCCAUUUUUUCACAAAUCAAAGAUGCUUUUUUUUGGAAAGAACUUAAAGACAUUAUUAUCUUAUUGAUUAUAUUUUGUCUGUUUACAUUGCAAAU
RNAcentral lists this unclassified non-coding RNA (359 nucleotides) under Hevea brasiliensis (rubber tree). Lineage: Eukaryota; Viridiplantae; Streptophyta; Magnoliopsida; Malpighiales; Euphorbiaceae. The record is from RNAcentral.